UACGGAGGGUGCAAGCGUUGUCCGGAAUUAUUGGGCGUAAAGAGCUCGUAGGCGGUCUGUCGCGUCGGCUGUGAAAACUCGGGGCUCAACCCCGAGCCUGCAGUCGAUACGGGCAGACUAGAGUGCUGUAGGGGAGACUGGAAUUCCUGGUGUAGCGGUGAAAUGCGCAGAUAUCAGGAGGAACACCGGUGGCGAAGGCGGCGUUCUGGACUGCAACUGACACUGAGAAACGAAAGCCAGGGUAGCAAACGGG
Molecule: ribosomal RNA, 253 nt
Filed under: uncultured bacterium
Lineage: Bacteria
Description: partial 16S ribosomal RNA
Rfam family: Bacterial small subunit ribosomal RNA
Source: RNAcentral